RNAcentral lists this ribosomal RNA (455 nucleotides) under uncultured organism. RNAcentral's name for it is "partial 16S ribosomal RNA". It matches the Rfam family "Bacterial small subunit ribosomal RNA", at positions 334 to 797 of the family's 1533-position model. The record is from RNAcentral.
CACUCCUGCGGGAGGCAGCAGUGGGGAAUAUUGCACAAUGGGCGCAAGCCUGAUGCAGCGACGCCGCGUGGGGGAUGAAGGCCUUCGGGUUGUAAACUCCUUUCGCUAGGGACGAAGCUUUUUUGUGACGGUACCUAGAUAAGAAGCACCGGCUAACUACGUGCCAGCAGCCGCGGUAAUACGUAGGGUGCGAGCGUUGUCCGGAAUUACUGGGCGUAAAGGGCUCGUAGGUGGUUUGUCGCGUCGUCUGUGAAAUUCUGGGGCUUAACUCCGGGCGUGCAGGCGAUACGGGCAUAACUUGAGUGCUGUAGGGGUAACUGGAAUUCCUGGUGUAGCGGUGAAAUGCGCAGAUAUCAGGAGGAACACCGAUGGCGAAGGCAGGUUACUGGGCAGUUACUGACGCUGAGGAGCGAAAGCAUGGGUAGCGAACAGGAUUAGAUACCCUAGUAGUCCCA